RNAcentral lists this ribosomal RNA (400 nucleotides) under uncultured bacterium. Its description in RNAcentral is "bacterial SSU rRNA". It matches the Rfam family "Bacterial small subunit ribosomal RNA", at positions 355 to 752 of the family's 1533-position model. The record is from RNAcentral.
UAAGGAAUAUUGGUCAAUGGGCGAAAGCCUGAACCAGCCAUGCCGCGUGCAGGAAGAAUGCCUUAUGGGUUGUAAACUGCUUUUAUUCGGGAAUAAACCUUUUUACGUGUAAAAAGCUGAAUGUACCGAAAGAAUAAGGAUCGGCUAACUCCGUGCCAGCAGCCGCGGUAAUACGGAGGAUCCAAGCGUUAUCCGGAUUUAUUGGGUUUAAAGGGUGCGUAGGCGGCCUAUUAAGUCAGAGGUGAAAUUUUGGAGCUUAACUCUAAGACUGCCUUUGAUACUGACUGGCUUGAAUUAACUUGAGGUAGGCGGAAUGUGACAAGUAGCGGUGAAAUGCAUAGAUAUGUCACAGAACACCAAUUGCGAAGGCAGCUUACUAAGGUUUUAUUGACGCUGAGGC